This 1372-nucleotide ribosomal RNA is filed under the name uncultured bacterium. RNAcentral describes it as "bacterial SSU rRNA". It matches the Rfam family "Bacterial small subunit ribosomal RNA", at positions 28 to 1381 of the family's 1533-position model. The record is from RNAcentral.
GAUGAACGCUGGCGGCGUGCCUAAUACAUGCAAGUCGAGCGAACGGACGAGAAGCUUGCUUCUCUGAUGUUAGCGGCGGACGGGUGAGUAGCACGUGGAUAACCUACCUAUAAGACUGGGAUAACUUCGGGAAACCGGAGCUAAUACCGGAUAAUAUUUUGAACCGCAUGGUUCAAAAGUGAAAGACGGUCUUGCUGUCACUUAUAGAUGGAUCCGCGCUGCAUUAGCUAGUUGGUAAGGUAACGGCUUACCAAGGCAACGAUGCAUAGCCGACCUGAGAGGGUGAUCGGCCACACUGGAACUGAGACACGGUCCAGACUCCUACGGGAGGCAGCAGUAGGGAAUCUUCCGCAAUGGGCGAAAGCCUGACGGAGCAACGCCGCGUGAGUGAUGAAGGUCUUCGGAUCGUAAAACUCUGUUAUUAGGGAAGAACAUAUGUGUAAGUAACUGUGCACAUCUUGACGGUACCUAAUCAGAAAGCCACGGCUAACUACGUGCCAGCAGCCGCGGUAAUACGUAGGUGGCAAGCGUUAUCCGGAAUUAUUGGGCGUAAAGCGCGCGUAGGCGGUUUUUUAAGUCUGAUGUGAAAGCCCACGGCUCAACCGUGGAGGGUCAUUGGAAACUGGAAAACUUGAGUGCAGAAGAGGAAAGUGGAAUUCCAUGUGUAGCGGUGAAAUGCGCAGAGAUAUGGAGGAACACCAGUGGCGAAGGCGACUUUCUGGUCUGUAACUGACGCUGAUGUGCGAAAGCGUGGGGAUCAAACAGGAUUAGAUACCCUGGUAGUCCACGCCGUAAACGAUGAGUGCUAAGUGUUAGGGGGUUUCCGCCCCUUAGUGCUGCAGCUAACGCAUUAGGCACUCCGCCUGGGGAGUACGACCGCAAGGUUGAAACUCAAAGGAAUUGACGGGGACCCGCACAAGCGGUGGAGCAUGUGGUUUAAUUCGAAGCAACGCGAAGAACCUUACCAAAUCUUGACAUCCUUUGACAACUCUAGAGAUAGAGCUUUCCCCUUCGGGGGACAAAGUGACAGGUGGUGCAUGGUUGUCGUCAGCUCGUGUCGUGAGAUGUUGGGUUAAGUCCCGCAACGAGCGCAACCCUUAAGCUUAGUUGCCAUCAUUAAGUUGGGCACUCUAAGUUGACUGCCGGUGACAAACCGGAGGAAGGUGGGGAUGACGUCAAAUCAUCAUGCCCCUUAUGAUUUGGGCUACACACGUGCUACAAUGGACAUUACAAAGGGCAGCGAAACCGCGAGGUCAAGCAAAUCCCAUAAAGUUGUUCUCAGUUCGGAUUGUAGUCUGCAACUCGACUACAUGAAGCUGGAAUCGCUAGUAAUCGUAGAUCAGCAUGCUACGGUGAAUACGUUCCCGGGUCU